GUCUGGAGCCAUGGUAUCCUGCACUCAGCUGUUCUAGUCUGAUAUCAGAAGCAAUGCAGAGUAGUCUCUGGUCAGUACGUGGUUGGGAGACCACCUAGGAACACCAGGUGCUGUGGGCU
This 119-nucleotide ribosomal RNA is filed under the name Notamacropus eugenii (tammar wallaby). Lineage: Eukaryota; Metazoa; Chordata; Mammalia; Diprotodontia; Macropodidae. The record is from RNAcentral.